CCAAACUUGGUCAUUUAGAGGAAGUAAAAGUCGUAACAAGGUUUCCGUAGGUGAACCUGCGGAAGGAUCAUUAUCGAGUUCUGAAGUGUGGCUGUCGCUGGCCUUUGUUCUUACGAAGGCAUGUGCACGUCGCAUUUUCAUCCACUCCUUACACCUUUGUGCACUCUUUGUAGGACUGGUUGAAAGUCAGUUUAUGUGCUGAUUGAUGCCUUUCCUAUGCUUUAUUAUUAACGAGUCAGUAACAGAAUGUAAUAUUGAGUAUAACGCAUUUUAUACAACUUUCAGCAACGGAUCUCUUGGCUCUCGCAUCGAUGAAGAACGCAGC
This 325-nucleotide unclassified non-coding RNA is filed under the name uncultured fungus. RNAcentral's name for it is "partial contains small subunit ribosomal RNA, internal transcribed spacer 1, and 5.8S ribosomal RNA". The stretch from base 1 to 73 matches the Rfam family "Eukaryotic small subunit ribosomal RNA", at positions 1759 to 1831 of the family's 1831-position model. Lineage: Eukaryota; Fungi. The record is from RNAcentral.